AUUGAACGCUGGCGGCAUGCCUUACACAUGCAAGUCGAACGGUAACGCGGGGCAACCUGGCGACGAGUGGCGAACGGGUGAGUAAUGCAUCGGAACGUGCCCAGUAGUGGGGGAUAGCUCGGCGAAAGCCGGAUUAAUACCGCAUACGACCUAAGGGUGAAAGCGGGGGACCGUAAGGCCUCGCGCUAUUGGAGCGGCCGAUGUCAGAUUAGGUUGUUGGUGGGGUAAAAGCCUACCAAGCCGACGAUCUGUAGCUGGUCUGAGAGGACGACCAGCCACACUGGGACUGAGACACGGCCCAGACUCCUACGGGAGGCAG
RNAcentral lists this ribosomal RNA (319 nucleotides) under uncultured Pseudomonadota bacterium. RNAcentral describes it as "bacterial SSU rRNA". It matches the Rfam family "Bacterial small subunit ribosomal RNA", at positions 30 to 351 of the family's 1533-position model. Lineage: Bacteria; Pseudomonadati; Pseudomonadota. The record is from RNAcentral.